UGUGUGUUAGUGGAAGCGUCUGGAAAGGCGCGCGAUACAGGGUGACAGCCCCGUACACAAAAAUGCACAUGCUGUGAGCUCGAUGAGUAGGGCGGGACACGUGGUAUCCUGUCUGAAUAUGGGGGGACCAUCCUCCAAGGCUAAAUACUCCUGACUGACCGAUAGUGAACCAGUACCGUGAGGGAAAGGCGAAAAGAACCCCGGCGAGGGGAGUGAAAAAGAACCUGAAACCGUGUACGUACAAGCAGUGGGAGCACGCUUAGGCGUGUGACUGCGUACCUUUUGUAUAAUGGGUCAGCGACUUAUAUUCUGUAGCAAGGUUAACCGAAUAGGGGAGCCGAAGGGAAACCGAGUCUUAACUGGGCGUUAAGUUGCAGGGUAUAGACCCGAAACCCGGUGAUCUAGCCAUGGGCAGGUUGAAGGUUGGGUAACACUAACUGGAGGACCGAACCGACUAAUGUUGAAAAAUUAGCGGAUGACUUGUGGCUGGGGGUGAAAGGCCAAUCAAACCGGGAGAUAGCUGGUUCUCCCCGAAAGCUAUUUAGGUAGCGCCUCGUGAAUUCAUCUCCGGGGGUAGAGCACUGUUUCGGCAAGGGGGUCAUCCCGACUUACCAACCCGAUGCAAACUGCGAAUACCGGAGAAUGUUAUCACGGGAGACACACGGCGGGUGCUAACGUCCGUCGUGAAGAGGGAAACAACCCAGACCGCCAGCUAAGGUCCCAAAGUCAUGGUUAAGUGGGAAACGAUGUGGGAAGGCCCAGACAGCCAGGAUGUUGGCUUAGAAGCAGCCAUCAUUUAAAGAAAGCGUAAUAGCUCACUGGUCGAGUCGGCCUGCGCGGAAGAUGUAACGGGGCUAAACCAUGCACCGAAGCUGCGGCAGCGACGCUGAUGCGUUGUUGGGUAGGGGAGCGUUCUGUAAGCCUGCGAAGGUGUGCUGUGAGGCAUGCUGGAGGUAUCAGAAGUGCGAAUGCUGACAUAAGUAACGAUAAAGCGGGUGAAAAGCCCGCUCGCCGGAAGACCAAGGGUUCCUGUCCAACGUUAAUCGGGGCAGGGUGAGUCGACCCCUAAGGCGAGGCCGAAAGGCGUAGUCGAUGGGAAACAGGUUAAUAUUCCUGUACUUGGUGUUACUGCGAAGGGGGGACGGAGAAGGCUAUGUUGGCCGGGCGACGGUUGUCCCGGUUUAAGCGUGUAGGCUGGUUUUCCAGGCAAAUCCGGAAAAUCAAGGCUGAGGCGUGAUGACGAGGCACUACGGUGCUGAAGCAACAAAUGCCCUGCUUCCAGGAAAAGCCUCUAAGCAUCAGGUAACAUCAAAUCGUACCCCAAACCGACACAGGUGGUCAGGUAGAGAAUACCAAGGCGCUUGAGAGAACUCGGGUGAAGGAACUAGGCAAAAUGGUGCCGUAACUUCGGGAGAAGGCACGCUGAUAUGUAGGUGAAGUCCCUCGCGGAUGGAGCUGAAAUCAGUCGAAGAUACCAGCUGGCUGCAACUGUUUAUUAAAAACACAGCACUGUGCAAACACGAAAGUGGACGUAUACGGUGUGACGCCUGCCCGGUGCCGGAAGGUUAAUUGAUGGGGUCAGCGCAAGCGAAGCUCUUGAUCGAAGCCCCGGUAAACGGCGGCCGUAACUAUAACGGUCCUAAGGUAGCGAAAUUCCUUGUCGGGUAAGUUCCGACCUGCACGAAUGGCGUAAUGAUGGCCAGGCUGUCUCCACCCGAGACUCAGUGAAAUUGAACUCGCUGUGAAGAUGCAGUGUACCCGCGGCAAGACGGAAAGACCCCGUGAACCUUUACUAUAGCUUGACACUGAACAUUGAGCCUUGAUG
Molecule: ribosomal RNA, 1825 nt
Filed under: Escherichia coli
Lineage: Bacteria; Pseudomonadati; Pseudomonadota; Gammaproteobacteria; Enterobacterales; Enterobacteriaceae
Description: partial 23S ribosomal RNA
Rfam family: Bacterial large subunit ribosomal RNA
Source: RNAcentral